Molecule: ribosomal RNA, 1537 nt
Filed under: Pseudomonas sp. NY5710
Lineage: Bacteria; Pseudomonadati; Pseudomonadota; Gammaproteobacteria; Pseudomonadales; Pseudomonadaceae
Description: bacterial SSU rRNA
Rfam family: Bacterial small subunit ribosomal RNA
Source: RNAcentral
GAACUGAAGAGUUUGAUCAUGGCUCAGAUUGAACGCUGGCGGCAGGCCUAACACAUGCAAGUCGAGCGGAUGACGGGAGCUUGCUCCUUGAUUCAGCGGCGGACGGGUGAGUAAUGCCUAGGAAUCUGCCUGGUAGUGGGGGACAACGUUUCGAAAGGAACGCUAAUACCGCAUACGUCCUACGGGAGAAAGCAGGGGACCUUCGGGCCUUGCGCUAUCAGAUGAGCCUAGGUCGGAUUAGCUUGUUGGUGAGGUAAUGGCUCACCAAGGCGACGAUCCGUAACUGGUCUGAGAGGAUGAUCAGUCACACUGGAACUGAGACACGGUCCAGACUCCUACGGGAGGCAGCAGUGGGGAAUAUUGGACAAUGGGCGAAAGCCUGAUCCAGCCAUGCCGCGUGUGUGAAGAAGGUCUUCGGAUUGUAAAGCACUUUAAGUUGGGAGGAAGGGCAGUAAGUUAAUACCUUGCUGUUUUGACGUUACCGACAGAAUAAGCACCGGCUAACUCUGUGCCAGCAGCCGCGGUAAUACAGAGGGUGCAAGCGUUAAUCGGAAUUACUGGGCGUAAAGCGCGCGUAGGUGGUUUGUUAAGUUGGAUGUGAAAGCCCCGGGCUCAACCUGGGAACUGCAUCCAAAACUGGCAAGCUAGAGUACGGUAGAGGGUGGUGGAAUUUCCUGUGUAGCGGUGAAAUGCGUAGAUAUAGGAAGGAACACCAGUGGCGAAGGCGACCACCUGGACUGAUACUGACACUGAGGUGCGAAAGCGUGGGGAGCAACAGGAUUAGAUACCCUGGUAGUCCACGCCGUAAACGAUGUCAACUAGCCGUUGGAAUCCUUGAGAUUUUAGUGGCGCAGCUAACGCAUUAAGUUGACCGCCUGGGGAGUACGGCCGCAAGGUUAAAACUCAAAUGAAUUGACGGGGGCCCGCACAAGCGGUGGAGCAUGUGGUUUAAUUCGAAGCAACGCGAAGAACCUUACCAGGCCUUGACAUGCAGAGAACUUUCCAGAGAUGGAUUGGUGCCUUCGGGAACUCUGACACAGGUGCUGCAUGGCUGUCGUCAGCUCGUGUCGUGAGAUGUUGGGUUAAGUCCCGUAACGAGCGCAACCCUUGUCCUUAGUUACCAGCACGUUAUGGUGGGCACUCUAAGGAGACUGCCGGUGACAAACCGGAGGAAGGUGGGGAUGACGUCAAGUCAUCAUGGCCCUUACGGCCUGGGCUACACACGUGCUACAAUGGUCGGUACAGAGGGUUGCCAAGCCGCGAGGUGGAGCUAAUCUCACAAAACCGAUCGUAGUCCGGAUCGCAGUCUGCAACUCGACUGCGUGAAGUCGGAAUCGCUAGUAAUCGCGAAUCAGAAUGUCGCGGUGAAUACGUUCCCGGGCCUUGUACACACCGCCCGUCACACCAUGGGAGUGGGUUGCACCAGAAGUAGCUAGUCUAACCUUCGGGAGGACGGUUACCACGGUGUGAUUCAUGACUGGGGUGAAGUCGUAACAAGGUAGCCGUAGGGGAACCUGCGGCUGGAUCACCUCCUUAA